GAAAAGUUUUAUUUUGGCUUAAAAAUUAAGUUUAAUUAUAAUUUAUAUGUAAAUAUAUGUGUAAAUAAUCUAGAUUUUUAAUAGAUCUAAAGGUUUUUAAUUCGCAGUAAAUAGAUUUAAAUAAUUAAGUAAAUUUAGAUUUAGUAAUAAUUGAUAAUAUUAACAAAUAUUGUGCCAGCAGUUGCGGUUAUACAAAUGAUGUGAUUUAAUUUUUUUAGUAAAAAUUAAUUUUAUAAUAAUUUAAUUUUAUAAUUAAAUUUAUUAGGUGAAAUUUUAAAUUUAAUUAAAAAUUUAUGUGAUUUGAUGAAGUUAAGAAAUUUAAUUUAUAAACUAGGAUUAGAUACCCUAUUAUUUUAAAUGUAAAUUAAUUUCUAGAUUAGUAUUAGUUAUGUUCUUGAAAAUUAAAGAUUUUGGCGGUAUUUUAGUCUAUUUAGAGGAACCUGUUCUGUAAUUGAUAAUCCACGAUUAAAUUUACUUAUUUUUAAUAGUUUGUAUAUCAUUGUAGUUUGAAUAUUUUAUAAGAAUUAAAUAUUCAAGAUUUUUUAUUAAAAAUAAAUCAAAUCAAGGUGCAGUUUAUAGAUAAGGAGAAAUGGGUUACAAUAAAUUUAUUUAUAUGGAUUUAAGAUUUUAAAAAUUUUAGUGAAAGUGGAUUUAAAAGUAAUUUUAUUAAUUUAAUUAAAAUGAUUUAAGCUCUAGAAUAUGUACAUAUUGCCCGUCGCUUUCAUUAUAAAAUGAAAUAAGUCGUAACAAAGUAGGCUUACUGGAAGGUGAGGCUAGAAAGAA
Molecule: non-coding RNA, 783 nt
Filed under: Cucujus mniszechi
Lineage: Eukaryota; Metazoa; Arthropoda; Insecta; Coleoptera; Cucujidae
Source: RNAcentral